GAUGAACGCUGGCGGCGUGCCUAAUACAUGCAAGUCGAGCGAACGGACGAGAAGCUUGCUUCUCUGAUGUUAGCGGCGGACGGGUGAGUAACACGUGGAUAACCUACCUAUAAGACUGGGAUAACUUCGGGAAACCGGAGCUAAUACCGGAUAAUAUUUUUAACCGCAUGGUUCAAAAGUGAAAGACGGUCUUGCUGUCACUUAUAGCUGGAUCCGCGCUGCAUUAGCUAGUUGGUAAGGUAACGGCUUACCAAGGCAACGAUGCAUAGCGGACCUGAGAGGAUGAUCGGCCACACUGGAACUGAGACACGGUCCAGACUCCUACGGGAGGCAGCAGUAGGGAAUCUUCCGCAAUGGGCGAAAGCCUGACGGAGCAACGCCGCGUGAGUGAUGAAGGUCUUCGGAUCGUAAAACUCUGUUAUUAGGGAAGAACAUAUGUGUAAGUAACUGUGCACAUCUUGACGGUACCUAAUCAGAAAGCCACGGCUAACUACGUG
Molecule: ribosomal RNA, 497 nt
Filed under: uncultured bacterium
Lineage: Bacteria
Description: partial 16S ribosomal RNA
Rfam family: Bacterial small subunit ribosomal RNA
Source: RNAcentral